UAUUAAAAUGUAUCCACUUAUCGUUGGGGGCAAUCUUCGCGGUUUAAAUUUAACGAGAGCGUUAAAGCCAAUAAAUCGAUUACACUUAUAAAUAAGUUUAGUAGCGAUCACAUUCAUUUAAAUGUCACCGGUGUAAAAGUUAAUUCUCGAUAGAGAAGCAGCGAUGCAUCUGCUUUCAGCAACGAACGAAACGGAGAAUUCAGUGACGCGUGCCGGGGAACGAAUGUAGAAGCGGUACACGCUAAUACACUCUAACCAACAACCGUGCUUCUCUCUCUCUUUCUCUCUCGAAUUAGAAAUGUGUGUGUCUCACAAUGACAUCACACCACGAUCGUUCGAGUGAGACGAUCGUUAGACUCGAAUGAUCUCGUUGCAAAUCACCGUGUUCCUUCUAUUUACGCAUCCAGCCACGUUGUAAUUCGACGUUGGAUCGAUCCAUGAUCGAUCGAUCGAACGUCGCCCGGCUUGACAUAUAAAUUAAUCCAAUU
Molecule: long non-coding RNA, 488 nt
Organism: Apis dorsata (giant honeybee)
Lineage: Eukaryota; Metazoa; Arthropoda; Insecta; Hymenoptera; Apidae
Exons: 3
Source: RefSeq, a predicted model, not a curated record